RNAcentral lists this transfer RNA (19 nucleotides) under Pseudorana weiningensis (Weining groove-toed frog). RNAcentral's name for it is "Rana weiningensis (Weining groove-toed frog) partial tRNA-Asn". Lineage: Eukaryota; Metazoa; Chordata; Amphibia; Anura; Ranidae. The record is from RNAcentral.
CGGGCCUCGAUCCCGCAAU